UAAACGAAAGUUUGACUAAGUUAUAUUAAUUAGGGUUGGUAAAUCUCGUGCCAGCCACCGCGGUCAUACGAUUAACCCAAGCUAACAGGAGUACGGCGUAAAACGUGUUAAAGCACCAUACCAAAUAGGGUUAAAUUCUAACUAAGCUGUAAAAAGCCAUGAUUAAAAUAAAAAUAAAUGACGAAAGUGACCCUACAAUAGCCGACGCACUAUAGCUAAGACCCAAACUGGGAUUAGAUACCCCACUAUGCUUAGCCCUAAACACAGAUAAUUACAUAAACAAAAUUAUUCGCCAGAGUACUACUAGCAACAGCUUAAAACUCAAAGGACUUGGCGG
RNAcentral lists this ribosomal RNA (337 nucleotides) under Bos taurus (domestic cattle). RNAcentral describes it as "partial 12S ribosomal RNA". It matches the Rfam family "Bacterial small subunit ribosomal RNA", at positions 458 to 916 of the family's 1533-position model. The record is from RNAcentral. Lineage: Eukaryota; Metazoa; Chordata; Mammalia; Artiodactyla; Bovidae.